GCUAAAAGAGACUGCGGAGGA
This 21-nucleotide ribosomal RNA is filed under the name Calocybe decolorata. RNAcentral's name for it is "partial 18S ribosomal RNA". Lineage: Eukaryota; Fungi; Basidiomycota; Agaricomycetes; Agaricales; Lyophyllaceae. The record is from RNAcentral.